AAAUUGAAGAGUUUGAUCAUGGCUCAGAUUGAACGCUGGCGGCAGGCCUAACACAUGCAAGUCGAGCGGUAGCACAGAGAGCUUGCUCUCGGGUGACGAGCGGCGGACGGGUGAGUAAAGUCUGGGAAACUGCCUGAUGGAGGGGGAUAACUACUGGAAACGGUAGCUAAUACCGCAUAACGUCGCAAGACCAAAGUGGGGG
RNAcentral lists this ribosomal RNA (202 nucleotides) under Klebsiella pneumoniae. Its description in RNAcentral is "partial 16S ribosomal RNA". It matches the Rfam family "Bacterial small subunit ribosomal RNA", at positions 1 to 212 of the family's 1533-position model. Lineage: Bacteria; Pseudomonadati; Pseudomonadota; Gammaproteobacteria; Enterobacterales; Enterobacteriaceae. The record is from RNAcentral.